RNAcentral lists this ribosomal RNA (253 nucleotides) under uncultured bacterium. Its description in RNAcentral is "partial 16S ribosomal RNA". It matches the Rfam family "Bacterial small subunit ribosomal RNA", at positions 524 to 776 of the family's 1533-position model. The record is from RNAcentral.
GACGAACCGUGCGAACGUUGUUCGGAAUCACUGGGCUUAAAGGGCGCGUAGGCGGCUUUCUAAGUCAGGGGUGAAAUCCGGCAGCUCAACUGUCGCAGUGCCUUUGAUACUGGAGAGCUCGAGGGAGGUAGGGGUCUGUGGAACUUCCGGUGGAGCGGUGAAAUGCGUUGAUAUCGGAAGGAACGCCGGUGGCGAAAGCGACGGACUGGAUCUCUUCUGACGCUGAGGCGCGAAAGCCAGGGGAGCAAACGGG